This 811-nucleotide long non-coding RNA is filed under the name Homo sapiens (human). RNAcentral's name for it is "HSALNT0300257". Lineage: Eukaryota; Metazoa; Chordata; Mammalia; Primates; Hominidae. The record is from RNAcentral.
UUUGCUUGUUUCAUCAACCUCCCUGUAGUAGCCAGCCACCCACUAUGGCCUCAUCCUCUGUGCACGCCCUCCUCAGCCUGCUUGGGCUUUGAUACCUGUGAGGUCACAGUGAUAGCUAGUUUUAUGAGUCACCUUGACUAGGCUAAGGGAUACCCAGGUAGCUGGUAAAACAUUGUUCCUGGGUGUGUCUGGGAGGGAGUUUCUGAAAGAGAUCAGCAUUUGAAUCAGUGGACUGAGUAAAGAAGAUCCGUCGUCACCAAUGUGGGAGGGAAAAGAAAAUGCAGGCAGGUGGCACAUUAGUGACCACCCUCCAGAGCCCAGUGCCUAUGAAUACUCAGCAGCUCCAAGGCUGAGACCCUAACCAACUGUGAAGAUGGAUCUGGCAUCCCAAGGCUCACCUGACAGGGAGAGGCAGAGCGCUCAUGAGAUCUGCUUGUUGGAAAGUGUGUAGCACCUCCUCCUUCGCUCUCUUCCUCCUACUCUGCCAUGGUAAGACAUGCUUGCUUGCCCUUCACCUUCUGCUGUGAUUAUAAGUUUCCUGAGGCCUCCCAGUCAUGCUUCCUGUUAAGCCUGUGGAACUGUGAGUCAACUAAACCUCUUUUGUUUAUAAAUUUCCCAGUCUCAGGUAGUUCUUUAUAGCAGUGUGAGAAUGAACAAAUACAGCAGGUCAGGAAGACGACCCCUCACUCUCCCUGGCCCUCCUUCAUGUCCCUGAGGAUGGAUUUCACAACGGGAAUGUAUUAUUGUCACUUCAGAAUUUUACAUAAAUCGUGACUUCUAAAACCAGAUUAAUAACCCUCUUCAAAGAAAU